CACAUAUGAGUGAAAUCGUAUGGUAUUUGUCUUUCUCCAUCUGACUUAUUCCACUUAACAUAAUACCCUCAAGGUCCAUCCAUGUUAUCAUGAAUGGCAGGAUUUCAUUCUUUUUUUAUGGAUGUGGCGUCUGGAGAUGCAGCAUCCAUUUUGCAAAAAUGUGGCAGUAAGCAUGAGGGAAAGGUCAAGAGAAUCAGAGACACUGCCAUGACAUCAACAGGCUGCUGAACCAAAGUCAGCACCUAUUUGCCUCCAGAUAUCUUCUUCUGUGACAAAAUAAACCCUUCUUGGUUUAAUUUACUAUACAGAGAAACAGAACUAAUAAGAUGUGUCUAUAUAUAGAAAGAGAUUUAUUUUAAGGAAUUGGUUCACAUGAUUUAUAGGGUUGGCAAGUCCAAAACUGCAGGGUGGGCCAGCGACUGAAGACCUAAGGAAAAGUUGAUGCUGCAGUUCAAGUCCAAAGGCCAUUUGCUGACAGAUGCUUGGGGGAGGCUGUCUCAUGAGAGUAUCAACAAUCAGUUUCAAACAGAAUCCAACCACAAAUACUUCUCCACAUGUGACUUGGAACAUCUGUCCUGCUCGAGUACCGUCCAUAUCAGGCGAGAGCUGGUCUGCCUUUGAUUCUUACUCUCCUAAAAUCCUUUGUCCUACUUCCCACACUGGACAUGAGAUAGGGUGAAAACCAUCUUCUCAAGAGCCAGCCUUAAGCAAGUCCUUCGCUUCCCCUCACUGAAGACUGCAGACCCUUUCUGAUGGAGACAAAUGCUGCACUCCAGGGAUAUCACUGACUCAGUGAUUUAUGUGGCAUUUUCCCUAAUGAAUCAAGAUGAAAGCUUUGAUCUAGAAAAAAAAU
Long non-coding RNA from Balaenoptera ricei (Rice's whale), 853 nucleotides. RefSeq lists it as uncharacterized. The transcript has 3 exons. NCBI's taxonomy places the organism in Eukaryota, Metazoa, Chordata, Mammalia, Artiodactyla, Balaenopteridae. The record is from RefSeq and is a predicted model, not a curated record.